GCGACGUUUGGACAACUUUUGGGUAAAACCGUUUAACCUCUUAAUGUAAGAUGACACCUAGGACCUCCAGGCACCAUAAAAACUGCAUUGAAAGAAAUGAUUAUGGUGCCUGGGGUGUUACUUUUAAGUUCUCUAUAGUGGGUGGUUGGGAUGGGGGCAGUUUAUUGACAGUUACAUGUAAGAAGUCCUCACUUUUUCCUCUCUGCUGUU
Non-coding RNA from Pelobates cultripes (western spadefoot toad), 210 nucleotides. NCBI's taxonomy places the organism in Eukaryota, Metazoa, Chordata, Amphibia, Anura, Pelobatidae. The record is from the annotation of a GenBank genome assembly.